This is a long non-coding RNA of Homo sapiens (human), 1198 nucleotides long. The record is from Ensembl. NCBI's taxonomy places the organism in Eukaryota, Metazoa, Chordata, Mammalia, Primates, Hominidae.
UCUUUUUCAUAGCUUCUCCAUCACAUUCAAGCUGGUUUAUGUCACUCCCCUGUGUUGUUACUUGUACAGCCAAGAAAGUAUCUGUUAUCUCCUGCGUAGUACCAAGGUUUGUUCAGGUAACUUGCAUUGGCCAACAGAAUCAGAGCAAAUACAACGUACACCUUAUCUGAAUAAAGGAUGCUACUACAUGGUUCAGCUUACAAGGAGCUAUUCUGUGAUCUCAGCUUCCAGAAUGAGAAAACACUUGGAGAGGGGCCAAGCAGAGUUGCAGUCAACUCCAAGGUGGCCCUAAGCACAAGUGUAAUCUUCCAAGGAGAGGACUGCCCCUCACAAAAGUAAUACCGGAUUCCCCAAGCUGCUUUGUGCCUCACUGUUGAUAUUUUUCCUGCUAUUGGCAAUCUCAUUCUUUAUUGCUUUUGUCAUUUUCUUUCAAAAAUAUUCUCAGCUUCUUGAAAAAAAGACUACAAAAGAGCUGGUUCAUACAACAUUGGAGUGUGUGAAAAAAAAUAUGCCCGUGGAAGAGACAGCCUGGAGCUGUUGCCCAAAGAAUUGGAAGUCAUUUAGUUCCAACUGCUACUUUAUUUCUACUGAAUCAGCAUCUUGGCAAGACAGUGAGAAGGACUGUGCUAGAAUGGAGGCUCACCUGCUGGUGAUAAACACUCAAGAAGAGCAGGAUUUCAUCUUCCAGAAUCUGCAAGAAGAAUCUGCUUAUUUUGUGGGGCUCUCAGAUCCAGAAGGUCAGCGACAUUGGCAAUGGGUUGAUCAGACACCAUACAAUGAAAGUUCCACAUUCUGGCAUCCACGUGAGCCCAGUGAUCCCAAUGAGCGCUGCGUUGUGCUAAAUUUUCGUAAAUCACCCAAAAGAUGGGGCUGGAAUGAUGUUAAUUGUCUUGGUCCUCAAAGGUCAGUUUGUGAGAUGAUGAAGAUCCACUUAUGAACUGAACAUUCUCCAUGAACAGGUGGUUGGAUUGGUAUCUGUCAUUGUAGGGAUAGAUAAUAAGCUCUUCUUAUUCAUGUGUAAGGGAGGUCCAUAGAAUUUAGGUGGUCUGUCAACUAUUCUACUUAUGAGAGAAUUGGUCUGUACAUUGACUGAUUCACUUUUUCAUAAAGUGAGCAUUUAUUGAGCAUUUUUUCAUGUGCCAGAGCCUGUACUGGAGGCCCCCAUUGUGCACACAUGGAGAGAACAUGAGUCUCUCUU